This 301-nucleotide ribosomal RNA is filed under the name uncultured bacterium. RNAcentral's name for it is "partial 16S ribosomal RNA". It matches the Rfam family "Bacterial small subunit ribosomal RNA", at positions 509 to 807 of the family's 1533-position model. The record is from RNAcentral.
CAGUAGCCACGGUAAUACGGAGGGGGCUAGCGUUGUUCGGAAUUACUGGGCGUAAAGCGCACGUAGGCGGCUUGGUAAGUUAGAGGUGAAAGCCCGGAGCUCAACUCCGGAAUUGCCUUUAAGACUGCAUCGCUUGAAUCCAGGAGAGGUGAGUGGAAUUCCGAGUGUAGAGGUGAAAUUCGUAGAUAUUCGGAAGAACACCAGUGGCGAAGGCGGCUCACUGGACUGGUAUUGACGCUGAGGUGCGAAAGCGUGGGGAGCAAACAGGAUUAGAGACCCGCGUAGUCCCUGUCUCUUAUAC